AAUCAGCAAGUAUACUGCCG
This 20-nucleotide microRNA is filed under the name Gadus morhua (Atlantic cod). RNAcentral describes it as "gmo-miR-34-3p". Its record names the gene gmo-miR-34-3p. The record is from miRBase by way of RNAcentral. Lineage: Eukaryota; Metazoa; Chordata; Actinopteri; Gadiformes; Gadidae.